This 1251-nucleotide ribosomal RNA is filed under the name Vibrio parahaemolyticus. RNAcentral describes it as "partial 23S ribosomal RNA". It matches the Rfam family "Bacterial large subunit ribosomal RNA", at positions 204 to 1511 of the family's 2925-position model. The record is from RNAcentral. Lineage: Bacteria; Pseudomonadati; Pseudomonadota; Gammaproteobacteria; Vibrionales; Vibrionaceae.
AAGUACCCCGAGGAAAAGAAAUCAACCGAGAUUCCGAAAGUAGCGGCGAGCGAAAUUGGACUAGCCCUUAAGCUUUACACGCGUUAGACGAACGGUCUGGAAAGUCCGACGAUACAGGGUGAUAGUCCCGUAGUUGACGACGUGUGUUCAGUGAAAUCGAGUAGGGCGGGACACGUGAUAUCCUGUCUGAAUAUGGGGGGACCAUCCUCCAAGGCUAAAUACUACUGACUGACCGAUAGUGAACCAGUACCGUGAGGGAAAGGCGAAAAGAACCCCUGUGAGGGGAGUGAAAUAGAACCUGAAACCGUGUACGUACAAGCAGUAGGAGCAGGCUUUGUCCUGUGACUGCGUACCUUUUGUAUAAUGGGUCAGCGACUUAUAUUCAGUGGCAAGGUUAACCAUCUAGGGGAGCCGUAGGGAAACCGAGUCUUAACUGGGCGUUCAGUCUCUGGAUAUAGACCCGAAACCAGGUGAUCUAGCCAUGGGCAGGUUGAAGGUUGAGUAACAUCAACUGGAGGACCGAACCGACUAAUGUUGAAAAAUUAGCGGAUGACUUGUGGCUAGGGGUGAAAGGCCAAUCAAACCUGGAGAUAGCUGGUUCUCCCCGAAAGCUAUUUAGGUAGCGCCUCGGACGAAUACUACUGGGGGUAGAGCACUGUUAAGGCUAGGGGGUCAUCCCGACUUACCAACCCUUUGCAAACUCCGAAUACCAGUAAGUACUAUCCGGGAGACACACGGCGGGUGCUAACGUCCGUCGUGGAGAGGGAAACAACCCAGACCGCCAGCUAAGGUCCCAAAUUACUACUAAGUGGGAAACGAUGUGGGAAGGCUCAGACAGCCAGGAUGUUGGCUUAGAAGCAGCCAUCAUUUAAAGAAAGCGUAAUAGCUCACUGGUCGAGUCGGCCUGCGCGGAAGAUGUAACGGGGCUAAGUAGUAAACCGAAGCUGCGGCAAUAUACUUUUGUAUAUUGGGUAGGGGAGCGUUCUGUAAGCGGUUGAAGGUGUGUGGUAACGCAUGCUGGACGUAUCAGAAGUGCGAAUGCUGACAUGAGUAACGAUAAAGGGGGUGAAAAACCUCCUCGCCGGAAGACCAAGGGUUCCUGUCCAACGUUAAUCGGGGCAGGGUAAGUCGACCCCUAAGGCGAGGCCGAAAGGCGUAGUCGAUGGGAAACGGGUUAAUAUUCCCGUACUUCUUACAAUUGCGAUGGGGGGACGGAGAAGGCUAGGUGGGCCUGGCGACGGUUGUCCAGGU